Molecule: non-coding RNA, 115 nt
Organism: Acanthosepion pharaonis
Lineage: Eukaryota; Metazoa; Mollusca; Cephalopoda; Sepiida; Sepiidae
Source: the annotation of a GenBank genome assembly
GCGGACUCAUCAUGGACGAAGCACCAAUUCUCGUACGAUCACCGAAGUUAAGCAACGUCCAGCCUGGUCAGUACCGAGAUGGGUAAACUUGCUUAGGAAUACCACAUGCUGUAAG